GGUCAGUGUCUCGGGGCAUCAGUCGGGCAUUCGGAAGAGCUGGGGAGACUCAACGGUGUAUGUGCUGAUGUGGCUGACCUUAAUAAGAACUCCCAUCACCAUGGCUCGGACUUCCAUCUCAAUGGAAAGAAAUGACGUGACUGUUAGACCACCUGGAAUGUUCUCUGUGGGAAGAUCCAGGAAGCUGGCUGCAUAGUGGUGUCUGGGCUUGUUGAUGGAGAUCAAGGUUGGAACCAAAGCCAGACACUAAAUAUUUCUCACGAGGCACACAAAACUUUUCACUUUUGUCACGAGGAGGAUUUUGGUGACAUCACUGUGUGAUUGCCCCCCUCAGGCAGCAUUCUCCUGCCUGACAUUCUCCAGCAUGGAGACAGUGGCAGUCUGGAAAUGUCCUAUGUGUUCAGUGUCUGAGUUAGAAGAAGCCACCAGCCUCUGAGUGUGUGUGACGACCUCACGUCUGACUGAAAUCGACAGGAAGACUGAGCUCCGCAGGUCAAGGACGCUUCGCCAAAUUAUCUCUCUAGAAGGUGGAGAAAAUAGUUUGCUGCAUAAUUUUGAAGUCGCCUCCCUUUUUAUGUGAUAAGGAUGGAGCCAUUGCAUCACAAUAAACCAUGGCACCUGUU
Molecule: non-coding RNA, 623 nt
Organism: Peromyscus maniculatus bairdii (prairie deer mouse)
Lineage: Eukaryota; Metazoa; Chordata; Mammalia; Rodentia; Cricetidae
Source: RefSeq, a predicted model, not a curated record